RNAcentral lists this ribosomal RNA (480 nucleotides) under uncultured bacterium. Its description in RNAcentral is "partial 16S ribosomal RNA". It matches the Rfam family "Bacterial small subunit ribosomal RNA", at positions 28 to 523 of the family's 1533-position model. The record is from RNAcentral.
GACGAACGCUGGCGGCGUGCUUAACACAUGCAAGUCGAGCGGUAAGGCUCCUUCGGGAGUACACGAGCGGCGAACGGGUGAGUAACACGUGAGCAAUCUGCCCUUCUCAUCGGAAUAACCAUUGGAAACGAUGGCUAAUGCCGAAUACGACUUCCUUUCGCAUGUCAGGAAGUGGAAUGCUCCGGCGGAGAAGGAUGAGCUCGCGGCCUAUCAGCUUGUUGGUGAGGUACUGGCUCACCAAGGCGACGACGGGUAGCCGGCCUGAGAGGGUGACCGGCCACACUGGGACUGAGACACGGCCCAGACUCCUACGGGAGGCAGCAGUGGGGAAUAUUGGACAAUGGGCGAAAGCCUGAUCCAGCAACGCCGCGUGAGGGAUGACGGCCUUCGGGUUGUAAACCUCUUUCAGCAGGGACGAAGCGAAAGUGACGGUACCUGCAGAAGAAGGACCGGCCAACUACGUGCCAGCAGCCGCGGUAA